Molecule: long non-coding RNA, 10442 nt
Organism: Athalia rosae (coleseed sawfly)
Lineage: Eukaryota; Metazoa; Arthropoda; Insecta; Hymenoptera; Athaliidae
Exons: 3
Source: RefSeq, a predicted model, not a curated record
UACCUGCUACGUAGAUACAUAUAUUAUUUGUUGAUCAAAUAUUAUCAAGUGACGUGCGUCACUGUGGAUUCUCUCAGAAUAAAUAUGGACAGUGCAUCGAUGACGUAUACGGUGAAAAGUUGUCCAAACAUUUCGAGUAUAACUUGAAAUAUUUACAACCGGAGGGGGAGAAAAAAAAAUACAGAAAAAAUGAAAAAUUUAACAUCACAACGACACGUAUGUAGAAUGCAAAUUUCGAUGCAAAUGUUGAAUAUCAUAUCACCUCACCUCAGAUGCGUCUUUUUCACCUGCAGCAACACAAACUGUGUACUACAAUGAGAAAGAAACGAAGAACGAAUCGUCAAAGAUCUCUCGAAUUUCCGGUUCCUUGAAAGAAGCGCGACACAAAUGCUUAGGAGUUGUGUAUACUCGUUCGGAAGUAUUUUUUUCUCACCAGAGAAAAAAAAAGGAAAUGAAGGGAAAUUACACCGUGAAAUUGCAUACCAGAUAUCGUUGACGAGUGAAAGUGCGACAUUGGUGAGUAUAUAAUGUAAUAUCGAGAAACUAUACCGAGAUAUCUUCGUUAAUUUGUAUCGCGUUUAACUAGCGGCGAUAACUAAUUAGUCAACAAUCAGUAAUUAGACCGUUCUUCUUGCUUCGUUGCGGUCGGGCCGCGCGCACGCGUUCAGCUUAUGUAUGUACAACGGGUCAAUGAGUAUCGAAUAGAUAUAUUAUUAAACCAUAUUGACAUAAUUGAUUGUUUAUAACGAAGACUAGAGAUACGACGAACCGUUGACGGCCUUGUAAUUGCGUUACUUUACAUCUACAUUAAAUAUAUAUAAAUAACUGUACAAAUAUCGCAAUAAUAACUCAUUACCAUAACGCAGCGGAAUUCAAUGCGGUAAGACGUUACGAUAUUGUAUAAUUUUAUGCACUCCGCGAUCCGCUCUUCCCAUACCGGAUUUUGACAGGGAAAACCGCAGACGGACUUGCAACUUCCGGCAAAGGCUGAGCUUCGUGUACGUACGUAGCGUAUACCGUGUUUAUAUUUUUAUUUACGCACGUAUAUGUAACCGGCGCACAUACGUUGGACCAUGGAGGAAAAACUAUUUUAUUGGUCAAUUUAAUUAACCGCAAGAGGAAAUUACGUUAUAACGGGAGACAUCGAGAACGUUGUGAAAAAACCAACGGACGGUGCGAAAGAAUUCUGGUUCUUCUUUUCCUCGACGCAGAAUUUGGAACAUUUGUAGGUGCGAGUAUAAGAGAAUGUUUAACAGGGGUGACAAGUAGGGCGCGUCGCGAUAUGGGAAUCAAUUUUAUAAUCACCGAAGAGGCUAUUUUAGCUGGCGACUCGUGGCUUUUGUUAGCCACGGGGGUGAAAAUCCGUUGAGCGAUCCUCGACCUCCUCGGUUGUUGUUGUUUUUGACACAAUGGAAUCGCUUGGCACGGUUGCCUAUUUCUUUCUAGGAAGCAAACCUGGCGCACGGUUGAAAACAAGCAAAAUCCGUAGAAUUCAGACGAAGCGCGGUUGAGCCUUGCCGCCCCGUCGGGUACGCUAUGCGGAGUUUCUCAAUCCCGAAGGACCUCUUCUCCUCAUUCUUCUUUGCGCUUUUGCGGCGUUGUAAAUUAUCGGGUCCAGCUAAACCGACCGAACGGCCAAACCGACCGUAGUUGCUUGUUGUUUUAGGGCUAUUUGGUAUAAGGUUAGGUAAAAGGGAGAACCGUUCGCUGCAGCGGAUCCGUUCGUUUUGCCGACAGGGUCGAGGAGGCCUGAAAAGGAUCGCGUGGAAAAUAGACUCGGUUUGUUGAGAAACUAGUCGUCGUAUUAGUCCGAUGUCUGAGAAUACCUAAUACUUCUCGGAACGAGAUGCAGAGAACUAACGAAAUUAAUGCCUCUCCUAAACGCCCGCUAAACAACACCCGCUCGGAUUCCGUCAGGAUCCUAAUCUCCCGGAUCCCCGAGCCAGGACCCUUUUCACCCAUUAUUCGAUCUCACGAUAUUCGACAAAGAACGAAAUAGAAAACAAGCUUCCCUGUAUCGUAACGCGAACUCAAAUUAACCCUUUUGCGAGGUCGAAGUUCGACGUAAUCGUAAUUUUACAACCCGCGCGUACGGCGUCAAUCCGUAGCAUCCGAAGCACACGUAUGUACAUACGUACGACGACGGAGUAGAAUUUAGCAACGAUCUCUCCGCAUGGAUCCGCGAGCAAACAUCAUCGAGACCGAAUCGGCAGAAGGAAGGGGAAUAAAGUAUAAAUAUUAUAAGUGGAGAUCGUUGGGGGUUCGCGGAAAAAAAAGGGAUCAACAGAAUCCCCGUUCGUUCGUUGUACGAUUGUUUGUCAGACUAGACAUGAAAUGCACGAGGCGCAAAACACACGGCCGAAAACAGAGGCAAACAAGAAGAAAUGGAGUAGGUAAUACGUGUAUCUACGCCUCGGUUCUCGUACAUCGCAUAUAUGCGUAUACGCCUUUUGCCACUUGGAUAUUAAAUAUAUACAAACGACGCCGUGUAUCUUCAAAACACGAUGAGCAAUCGUGUUCCGACUGCACUUUGCAACGUUGAUCGUCGACGCACUUUCGCCGAUUGUGAGCGAGAUUCAAUUGACGAGAUUGUUAGGAACGUAGGAAUAACUGCGUAUCGCGAGACGGAGAUUGAAAAAACCCAGCGGCUGCUUAUCAGGAUUUCUAAUUUUGGAAUAUUAUUCUCAAAGCAAUCCGAACGUCCCUACGACGUCUGGGUCCGGAAUAUACGAGGUUCGUCGGAUCUGGCGACAGAAAUAUGAUCGCUGACGAUAUUUAUCGCACUACGUGUAUCCGUAUUGCGUAGGUCUUGAGUUAUCGAAUGUAUUGGGAGAUUUUAUAAUUUCCGUGUUGACUCUUUCGAUCAAUCUAAUUGAGUAAUUUCGCUCGACUCGAGCUGUUUGGCGAGUUAUGACGGAAUAUUUUCUGUUCAAAACUUUCCUAUUUUCCCCCUUCGAACGCCCACUUCCCGCGAGAAAUUUAUUUUUCCCUUCCCGUCACCGAAACUUGCUCCAUUUGCGUUAUUCGUUGAAAACGAAGGACUUCGUUUUUCCUCGCGCGAUGCAGAUCACACUGCCCCUUUUUAAUCACUUUUGGCAAUUAGCUAAUUCGGCCGAUCAACGGAUUAAUAAAAUCAGAGGAUUCGAAAUUAUGGUCGUUUCAUCUUCGACGUGUCAGAAAUCCCAUUCGUACGUAGGAGGUGAUGGUGGGUGUUCGACGUACGCGCGUGAUGGAAAACUGGCAGCAUAUAUAUAUUUUUACGCCCAGGAGCUUAUUACACGAGGGCACGCACGACCCCCGUGCAACUCCUAUACGUGCGUACGUACGUAAUAACACGCGCUGUGGGCUCCCUGUAACGAACAAGUAAACACGAUGAAUUCCAUCUGUUUGUUCCACCGACCGUUUUCCGCCUCCCGCGAUAUUACAUGUAUUUUUUCCCGAAUUGUUUCUCUCCUUUAUUCCGCGAACGACACAGCGCGAAUGUGAUAAUUUUGCGUUACAAAAUAUACGUAUGGAAAAAAAAGAAAGAAGCGACGAAAGAGAAACAAGAAAUCCGAGAGUCGCUGUGUGCGAGAUUGAGAUUGUGAAUGCUGUUUGCCUGGGUUCGUUGCAGUCGGUGUGUAUAUAUAUAUAUCUUUUUAAUAACGGGUCGGUAGGUUAAAACUGAUUUGCUCCAAUUUCGCAAAAUGUACUCGUAAUUAUUCAAAAUUAUCCAGUAUAUUUAUAUUUCCACACGCGGAGUCGGCCACGAAUAUCGGCAGAUAACGACGCCGAGGUCUGACGAGAUAAACGAAUUUCGCGCGGCGUUGUUGUACGUGCAUGUUCGAGAUCCUGGCGAAUGUCGAUUGAUCGUUAAAACCCCGAUGCGACUGCGGAGGAUAAUAAUUUGAGAAGCGAAAAAUCGCGGUUAUUUUUCGCGCGUGGGAUGGAAAUAUUCUUUUCCGCACGGCGUUUGACGGAAAAAUUCUCAGUCCGCGCGUGUAUGCUCGCAAUGUUCUUUGACGGCGUGCGGCAGCCUGGCUUUUCUGGGUUAAUAGGAACUGAACUAUAGUUCAAACAAAAGACAAGUAUACGAAGCGAAGUUUACCCUUUUAAUUACCGAGACAUUGCGGCGUUACUUUCUCGUCAACAAUACCUGACAUACCGUAAAUCUUAGGCGCGCCCCAAAGGAAAUUCCUAACCGAAUAAACCGAAUUCCAAUGCCAAUCAUUAUAUGCGCGGCUCGAAUGGAAACGGUACAAUCUGUACAGUCGAUCGGUAAACAGUUUUUCAUUACGAGCGGGCAGAGCUUAAGGUGAUUCUUUCCUCAUACGCACCCAUGUAGCACACGGGCGCAGUACGACCCCCCGCGCGGUAAGCAGAGGUGGGUACAAUAAAAAGCUAGUGCUCGUGUAAAAGCGAAAUACCUGCAGCUGAGGCUGCGCACGUUGAAGAAAAAUAUUUUCUAACAACGGUAUAUUGCCGGGGCAAUAUUUAAUCAAGUUCUCCUCGGUGCUGUAAUAAAUUCAUGGUUUUUGAAGAAAAAUUUUCCCUUUGUAAACCCUAAAAGAAUUCCGACAACCAUACUUUCACCGUGGUGUUUGUUUGCUUGUCACGCGUGCAAAAAUGUCCUUUCAUCGUCCCUUUUAUUUUUCCCGCAGGGUGGGUUCUCCGUAUAUUUUCAAGUACUUCGGUACUACGGAAUUAUUGCCCCGAGUGGAGUGAAUUUUAUGGGCUAAUAAUUAGGGGUGUCAGAAUUUGUCGUAAAACAGUUGAGUGUAACCCACUCGUGUCUUGAGAAUCUAUUACCCGCUGCAGUUUUGUACGAUUUAUAGUUCGCGAUUAAAACCGGUAAUUGUAUAGGCAAUGAGUUAGCGCAAUUACAUCUUGAAGUCUAGUACACCUACCCCCGACGCUCCUCUAAAUUAUACCUAAUAAACCGUAUAACGCGGACGAUUACUGCUUCUCCACUACCGAUGCAUAGUAGGGUAACGUUGUACGGUAACGCAACGUAAUUUCUUCAGCCCCCUUACUUUUGCACGUGUGUGUAUACAUAUAUCCACCCGUACAAAUUCUCGCGAUUAUUAUUAUACACGCCAAUUGGUUUGUUCAAUUUAUAUCCCGUACGCUCCGUAUAUACUCGCAAUUUACUCGAAACACUGUCAAAUAUCGUCGCGCAUACGUACGCGUAUAAUGUAAUAAUAUAAAACGACAAUUUAUAAAGCUAGCAUAUUUAUAUAUAUACGUGUGUAACACCGUGAGCUAAGCGCGGGAAAAUUGUAAAUUGAAUAUAAACAUUUGCUCCUGUUGUUCCGUGAAGUCAGCAUAAAGGGUUCGAGAACCCCGGGGAGCGUAGAUGGGUAGGUAGGUAGGUGGUGGGUAGGUACGUAGGGAAAGCGGCGAGUCCCUCGGGAAUACGUAACAAUAUACGUGGGUAUACACGCGUACGUAAAAAAAAUGGGGAGGUAACGAGCAAAGCAAAGGUGGGUCGGUUGGUUGGCAUGAUUCGGCGCGGCAGGUACGCUUCGUGUGCAAGGUAAUAAUUAUGGAAAAUUAAACGGUGGUCAUUCGCUGGAUAAAUGCGUCGUUGCUCCGCGGUUCUUUUAAUGCAUUUAUAAGACUAUAUCAAAUAUUUGACCAACCGACUCUCGAACGUUCAGGUAUACGUGCGCUCUACACAACCGCUGACUCGUGUGUUCUUUCGAUAUUAAGAGUACCGUCGUCGUCGUUUCUGCCUACCCCGCGAGUAAAUUAAGUUAUUCUUAUUUUUUUUCUUUUUCUUUUCUUUUUUCUCUCUUCGUCGAACAAGUUUUUCGAAAAUCGAAUCCAACUGGAACGAGGUUACCUGAUUAGAAAAAAACGAUAUCCGGUUCGUAAUUAGCGAAUUUUUGGUCGAUCGACGGCCGUGUCCCAAUCAGGUCCACCGAAUACGGUAUUAUAACGUAAGUCAAUAAAUAAGAUAUCUACAUAUGUACGUGAGAAAAUACGUUCACUCGCAUGUGAAUAUAUAUUAUAAAGAAAGAAAAAAAAAAACCAGCAGCGGCAAUAAGGAAAGAUGAAUAUUUAAACUGGCGCAGGUGCAGAGCGUUUAUAUGUAUAUCUACCUACAUAUAAUACUUACAUACCCUAUACCCGUCGGCGAAAGUUUUAACUUUGGGAAAUGUUUACGCAAGAUUUGCCAAAACUUGAAUUAUUAUUAAAACUUUCUCCCGGGAUUCCUGCCGUCAUGCGGUCUAGAGUAGCUAAAGAAGUAUUGGAGUCUAGACUGUGGGUAUAGAUACGAAAACUCUGAAUUUUCUGUGUUUGGUAUACAAUAUACCUACAAAGAUGGUUUUGUUCUCGACUCGUCGAAACGAAAUGGAAAAGAUAAACCAACAAGAAGAAAACAAAAAAAAAAAAAAAAGGAAGGAAAAAAGAAAGCAUCUUAAUAGACCAGAGUCGCGCAACGGAAAUUCCAAAGUCACUUACAUCACGUCGUAACGAGAUUCUACUUAUCCAACCUGUAAUGGUUGUAACUAAUUAACGGUGAGAAAAUUCCACGUGCAAUAAAUCCGAGUCGAUACUAAAUUCUCUCAUGUAAUAUAUAUAUGAAGAAAAAGUUAUAAUGUUAAGUCCAUGUAAAGCAAGAUCUAUAGGAUUCCGUAAGGAUCACGAAUAAAGUAUCCAGUCGCGCGCAGAUCACGGAUCUUUAGGUACACGUACCACGGGUCGUCGUAAUAUCAAAGGUGUUGGUAAUAUUCUCGACCGAGCUAGAGAGCCGGGCUCCGAAAGAGAUAGACAAAAGGUUAAGCGAGUGGAUAAAGCUGCCGAGACGGAGGUGCACGAGGUUGAUCCUAGGAUCGAGGAGAGAGGUGCGCAGGUAUGUACGUACGUAAUAAGGAUCCUUUUCACCAUAUAAAACGCGCGCGGACACCGCGGAAUUAUAUUACAGAUCGUUUAAUUUUAGCAUGUCUAUAAUCUGCGGGUGUUUUGUCGGAUACAUUUAGUUAGCUCGGUCUAGACGAAUUUUUUUUAGAAAACUUUUUUUUUUCCUCCUUCAACCAACGGUUAAAUAUGAUCUCUCGCUCCUUUUUCGGCGCUGGUUAUUUGGAGCGCGAAAAUUCAGCGGCGAGACUUAUUAUCGGUAUCCGAAAUCGAGAAUCUUCCGGUGUGAACGACGCCUAAAUGCGAGACGGUCGUUCAUUCACAAGAACCCCUGCGGGCCCCUGGACCGUUUCACGACGCAUUCCAUCGCCAAGACCACCGAGCCUUUGGCCUUCCAUUUCCUCGACGCCGCACCGAUGCAGAAUGCAGACCAAACAAAGCUGCCGAGAAGAAAAGGAAGUGGUGGUCAACUUUCAUAUAUGCGGAAAGGCCGGCGCGUGUUGAUCGCAUAGCGGGAAUAUAUUUCGUAAUAUCUGGCAUUUUUACCGAGGGGAAAUUUUCCAAAUACAACGGGGGCUGGCGAUAAGCGGAUCGCUAGCCCAGUGGAAAACGAAAACUUUCGUCCAGUUUUUCUCGUAGCGUCUACAGCUUUUUAAUCCCAAUGAUUCGUCGGGUACUUGAUUAUGAGAGCGAUUUUCAAGUUCUUUCUUAUUUGGCCGCGCACCGACGCAAUUGUGGUUUUGCGGUGUACCGAGUCGAGUCAUGAUUUCAGACAUUAGAAGAAGCAGAUUCUCUGGAGGGUCGGACGAGCCGGAGUCGCUCUUUUCCACGAAGCUGGGCGUAACGAAGUUCAAAAAUUUUCGCCACGAUUUUCAUUUUCUCCACGUAUUUCGCGCGGUAUUUUUUCACGUUACUACUUCGGCCUUGUUCGCAUCGGUUGAAAUUCGAGGUAUUAAGAUCGCCUCAAUUAUCGAGAUGCGCGUUAGAUAAAAAAAAAACUCGAUAUUCGACUGGAAGAAAACCUGUCAAUCUCAUCGCGAUAACGAAGAACUCUGUCUCAGAAGGACGCUCGUAAAUCUUUGAUUUUUUGCUCGAACAUCAGCCGCACGGAUCAUCGCUUAAAUUUACUACAUUCUUAUCGACGUGUUCUACCGCUUUAUUUUAUCUUUACGAUUCGCCAUACUUAUACCUACCUACCCGCCAACCCGCCGCUAUUGAUGCCGGUAGUCGCCGUGCCAUCACCUUACCUUGCUGCGGUUCGGUAUUUUGUUUAUAAAUCAGCGACUCGCUUGCGAAAAAGAAUUCAAAAAAAGAAAAAAGUGAAAGAGAACGCAAAAACCAAAAAAAUGUUCGUCUCGGAAAUAAAACUAAAAAAAAAAAAAAAAAGGAAAACUUGUGCCUCGAGAGUAAAAAAAACCUUAAAAACAGGAGUUAGCUGAUCAGUUUUAUUACCUCGUCUUCCACACACAUCGCCACCGCGUGAUUUGAUCAUGCCGAUUUCAUCACCGCUCGACGAUCGGUUCAACGGGCCAGUUAUCUAAAGAAUUUCAUUGGUCCAUUGACCCUGGAUGUCGGCCUCGUCCUUGUCGUCUUUGACUGAAAAAAAUCGUCUGAACAAGGAUCGCGAUCUUCGAUCAGGUUGGUUAUACGCCGUAAGUCGCACGUUUUGUUUCGCCAUUUCAAUUCGGUAAUAUCCAAUUAUAUGCCAACUUCGGUAUCAUUUCGUAUAAUCAGACAAUGGUCAAAUAAUCGUUAUCCCACCUGAAAAUAACCAGGUUGCCUAUUCUCGUUUCUUCGCAAUCGUCGUAUCUUACGAAUGACCGAAAAUCGCCGAUUGUUCGGAACUGGCAAUAAAUGACGAAUGUCAAUUACCGGUGCAUUGUGGGAGUUCGAAAAAUGAUUCGAAACGUCAAACUGUUGUCGUCAUCGAGCUUCCUCUGCACCCAUCCGCGGCGGUAAGUAAACGAUGUUUGCGUUUAACGAUGGCACAUUGUAUUCUUGGCCUUAUUAACCGGCGACCUGCUGGCAGGGCCUUUUGUUCGGUGUCCCAAGUUUCUUGGCAUUUCUCCUUGUAUAUUACACAUACUUUUUGUUUGGGCCUGAGUUACCGCGUGUCUUCCUACCCCCGUGUAAACCUCAAACUUCUUCUACCCGGAAUCCGGCCCGGUUUCGGAACACGAAAAGAGAGAAAAAAAGAGAAAAAAAAAAGAAAAAAGAAAAACUACUAGAAAGUGUCAUCAACUUUUCCUCGCUACAUCAAUGGCCCAUUCAGCGGUUAACAUUGAAAUUUAAUUGAACCAAAUGUCUUUUUCGGUUUCCAUGGUGUACGAGCAAUAUAAACAGGAAAGUCCACAAAGACGAGAAAAGGAAAAAGAGGAGGAAGAAGAGGAAGACUGAAACGAGUCGAUGUUGACUCUUGUUAUACACAAUCGGUUAUCCAGAGCAGAGAGCAAUGGACUUUAGGACACGAGUUAUUAUGCGGUGUGAAAUAUUCUCAUGACCAAAUACAUCAUGGAAUACACAUACGGAGUGGCGCAGGGAUUGCCGUGCACAAACGUGAAAUUUUUUGUACACGCGUACACCGCGCGUACACGGUCGGUUAACAGGAGAGUGUUUAGUUUUCGAGGGUGACGGACGCGUUGGGAUCUAAAAAUGCCUCGGAUUCUGAGAAGAUGACGGACACGAGUUUUACGGGGCGAGACUUUACCUGGUCGUUACCAUUUGUGAAUGGACGAGGAGGAGCUGAGCCACCGCGUGGGCCUUCGGCCUCACAAACCGGCACUGUACAAGCCAUGCCAGGGCAUCGUGACACAGCGCCGCAACCUUCCACCUUUCACCAUCACCACUACCACCAUCGUCAUGACCACUAACACGUCGGCACUGUGCUGUGUACCGGCCAAGUUUUCAUCCGAGACCGCGCCGAUGCGACCCGUGGCAACCGGUGGGUUUUCGGAGUACGUGUGGGCCCGGUCGAGACCGGAGAGUAGAUCAGACCCUCGUCGGUAUGUUAGUUUCUGGAAUUUUGGCGCCAAGACGGCAAUUCACCGCUUUGUGUGCGGCCAUUCAAGUCCCCGAGAAGUAGACUACUAAACUCGUUUCCUAGAUUUCCCACACGAGCUGCUGCGGCGUAAUUAGUCCGAGACGGUGACAACAGGACGUUGGGCACGUGUAGCACAAGGACUGUUCACGGGUACUUGCGUUCAUGUUCCUACGAGGACUCACGGGAGUGUACGAUGUUCUAGGUACCGUAUAUAUAUAUUAUAUAAUUAUAUGAAAAUUGAUGUAACUUACUGCUGUACACAACAUCUAAAUAAACAUGUCCAUGGUUUUGUAUCGUGGAGCAAUUUCACGGUGUGGAAGUCUGUUGAUUUGUCUGAGGAGUUAUUUUUUUAUUUUUUUAUUUUCCCCUGGCUCUAUACUUGCUUUUCUUUUUCCUCUCCUCUUUUUUUUUUUUAUAUUUUCCUCUGUUCUCUUCCAACAUUUAGAGUGAAAUUCGACGCGGUCGUAGAAAAAAAGCAGCCCAUGGCCAUUGGGGUAUGUAAAAGAUAUGGGUUGAAUUUCUAAAAAAUUGCGUAGUCCAGACCCGGAUUCUCUUGAAA